GUUGUCGUGAGACAGGGUCUGAAGGAAGUCCAAUCCGAAACUGCGGGGCGAUGAACAAGAACCGGAUAUGAGGCGUGGUGUAUCUGGGGCGAGCGGGCACGUGACCGUGAAGCCCUCUAUCUGCGGCAGCAAGGUGCACUUUGUAAAUCCGGCGUCCAUGCAGGGAAGGUAACGUGU
This is a non-coding RNA of Thauera sp. 27, 177 nucleotides long. The record is from Rfam. NCBI's taxonomy places the organism in Bacteria, Pseudomonadati, Pseudomonadota, Betaproteobacteria, Rhodocyclales, Zoogloeaceae.